This 226-nucleotide ribosomal RNA is filed under the name uncultured bacterium. RNAcentral's name for it is "partial 16S ribosomal RNA". It matches the Rfam family "Bacterial small subunit ribosomal RNA", at positions 524 to 748 of the family's 1533-position model. The record is from RNAcentral.
UACGUAGGGUGCAAGCGUUGUCCGGAAUUAUUGGGCGUAAAGAGCUCGUAGGCGGUUUGUCGCGUCUGCUGUGAAAUCCCGAGGCUCAACCUCGGGCCUGCAGUGGGUACGGGCAGACUAGAGUGUGGUAGGGGAGACUGGAAUUCCUGGUGUAGCGGUGAAAUGCGCAGAUAUCAGGAGGAACACCGAUGGCGAAGGCAGGUCUCUGGGUCCACUACUGACGCUG